This 98-nucleotide ribosomal RNA is filed under the name Cebus imitator (Panamanian white-faced capuchin). The record is from RNAcentral. Lineage: Eukaryota; Metazoa; Chordata; Mammalia; Primates; Cebidae.
GUCUACGGCCAUACCACCCUGAACACGUCUGAUCUCUGAAGCUAAGCAGGGUUGGGCCUGGUUAGCACUUGGAUAGGAGAGAGAAGUGCUUGUUUCCC